AUACGUAUGUCGCAAGCGUUAUCCGGAUUUAUUGGGCGUAAAGCGCGUCUAGGCGGCUUAGUAAGUCUGAUGUGAAAAUGCGGGGCUCAACCCCGUAUUGCGUUGGAAACUGCUAAACUAGAGUACUGGAGAGGUAGGCGGAACUACAAGUGUAGAGGUGAAAUUCGUAGAUAUUUGUAGGAAUGCCGAUGGGGAAGCCAGCCUACUGACAGAUACUGACGCUAAAGCGCGAAAGCGUGGGUAGCAAACAGGAUUAGAUACCCUGGUAGUCCACGCCGUAAACGAUGAUUACUAGGUGUUGGGGGUCGAACCUCAGCGCCCAAGCUAACGCGAUAAGUAAUCCGCCUGGGGAGUACGUACGCAAGUAUGAAACUCAAAUGAAUUGACGGGG
RNAcentral lists this ribosomal RNA (391 nucleotides) under uncultured bacterium. Its description in RNAcentral is "partial 16S ribosomal RNA". It matches the Rfam family "Bacterial small subunit ribosomal RNA", at positions 523 to 918 of the family's 1533-position model. The record is from RNAcentral.